RNAcentral lists this ribosomal RNA (332 nucleotides) under uncultured bacterium. RNAcentral's name for it is "bacterial SSU rRNA". It matches the Rfam family "Bacterial small subunit ribosomal RNA", at positions 568 to 899 of the family's 1533-position model. The record is from RNAcentral.
CGCGUAGGUGGUAGUGAAAGUCUAUGGUGGAAUCUUAGGGCUUAACCCUAAAACUGCCUUGGAAACUUCAUUACUUGAGUCAGUGAGGGGAGGGUAGAAUUCCUGGUGUAGCGGUGAAAUGCGUAGAUAUCAGGAGGAAGGCCGGUGGCGAAGGCGGCCCUCUGGCGCUGAACUGACGCUGAGGCGCGAAAGCGUGGGUAGCAAACAGGAUUAGAUACCCUGGUAGUCCACGCCCUAAACGGUGGGUACUAGGUGUAGGGCUCGUAAGGGUUCUGUGCCGAAGGGAAACCAUUAAGUACCCCGCCUGGGGAGUACGGGCCGCAAGGUUCGAA